CGAGCGAGACCUUCGGGUCUAGCGGCGGACGGGUGAGUAACGCGUGGGAACGUGCCCUUUGCUACGGAAUAGUCCCGGGAAACUGGGUUUAAUACCGUAUGUGCCCUUCGGGGGAAAGAUUUAUCGGCAAAGGAUCGGCCCGCGUUGGAUUAGGUAGUUGGUGGGGUAAUGGCCUACCAAGCCGACGAUCCAUAGCUGGUUUGAGAGGAUGAUCAGCCACACUGGGACUGAGACACGGCCCAGACUCCUACGGGAGGCAGCAGUGGGGAAUCUUAGACAAUGGGGGCAACCCUGAUCUAGCCAUGCCGCGUGAGUGAUGAAGGCCUUAGGGUUGUAAAGCUCUUUCAGCUGGGAAGAUAAUGACGGUACCAGCAGAAGAAGCCCCGGCUAACUCCGUGCCAGCAGCCGCGGUAAUACGGAGGGGGCUAGCGUUGUUCGGAAUUACUGGGCGUAAAGCGCACGUAGGCGGACUGGAAAGUUGGGGGUGAAAUCCCGGGGCUCAACCUCGGAACUGCCUUCAAAACUAUCAGUCUGGAGUUCGAGAGAGGUGAGUGGAA
RNAcentral lists this ribosomal RNA (557 nucleotides) under uncultured bacterium. RNAcentral's name for it is "bacterial SSU rRNA". It matches the Rfam family "Bacterial small subunit ribosomal RNA", at positions 63 to 666 of the family's 1533-position model. The record is from RNAcentral.